AUGUCGUGGUUUGAAGGGAAGUGAGUUUUUUUGGAAGUAGUGGUCAAACCAAUUAGUCUUUAGAUCUGAAUAUUGGCACCUUUGUUGGCCACUAAGAGGUGGACACGCCUCUGAGGACACGAGGGGUUAAAAGCCGGAUUUCCCAGCAGGACUCUCUCUUUCCUGCUCUGCUUUCGGAGAGGGAGCGUCUCCUCCUCUCCCCUGCCGGCCUGGCUAGGCCGGAUGGGGGAGGGGAGCAAGGUGGGCCUGGCUUAGCAAGAGAGAAGGUGCCGAGCUGGAGCUGCUUGUGAGACCUGCAGUGUCUGCGAUCGCCUGUGCCUGACCUUGGUGGUGGGAGAUAAAGCUUUUAACUCUUUCUAAGGCAGAAGAGAGUUAUCCCUGGACGCUGUAUUCUCAUAGUUGGUGGUUUUAGAAGAGAGAGGACAGCCUGGGACCGAGAGGGUAAUGUGAGAUGAAAAGAAGCCCCUUCGAUGGCCGGAAUGAAGAGGAGUGGCUUAUGAGGCCGGACUUUUCUUGCAUAAUGAUAGCCAUAGACGGACCCUGGACCCUCCUGACUAUAAAUAAGACUGUGUUUGGGUGGAUGUUUUUGGCUCAAACCCAGAGACGUUUUGGCCUGCUUCGUGGAGCCCCCGGCCCCAGGGGUAAAUGGGGGGGACCUGAGUCCCAAAAUGAGAAGAUGGCUGGUUUUUGGUACUUGGCCAAAACAUCCUUAAAAAGAGCCCUGUUGCAGUGCAGGUCCAUGGACGGCAGUGAGAGUGCCGGACAUGGAAAGGAGGGUGUCACCCUGGCAGACCCUUCCAGGCAGUGCCAUGGGUGACGUGGGAACACGGGAUGGUGGACCUGUGUUUCCUGUGGGGGGGGGGUCUGUGGUGCGAGAGAGACUCCUCUCGUCCUGGAUGGAAUGUGGAUUGUCUGAAUUUUAAAGGAUGAUGGUUUGGAUUAGGAACCCAGGGUUGUUGGGGGAUUAAGCAAGUAGAUGAAGGUAAUGUGCUGGAGACAACUGAGUGAGCAUGUAUGGAAUGGAAAUUGGGGGGAGGAGAAGCAGUGUUUUGGGAGGUUUUCUCUUCUGCUUUUGGGUGGCUGGGUUUUUCUUUCCUUUUCUAUUGUCCAUUGUUAUGUAAUAUAAUAAAUUGUCUGUCUGUUUCAAGAAGUAGGCCUGCUCUGCUCUGUUCUUGACCACAUCUCACAGGAGUUCAUUAGGUAAAAUAUACCCUCAUGGGUGCAUUGGCAUUUUGUCAAAUGUCAACCCAUGACAUUUUUGGUUCCCUGACCGGGAAUCGAGAUUUUGUAAGAUGAAAACUGUGAGAUGGGAUCAAAGAGGAACAAGAGCAAAGCAUGAAAUAGGUGAUAACAUAAAUGUAUGAAUGUAAUGUUGGUGUUAGUUUAUAAAUAUGUGUCCUCAGAGGGCGAGGGGUGGAGUGUCGUGGUUUGAAGGGAAGUGAGUUUUUUUGGAAGUAGUGGUCAAACCAAUUAGUCUUUAGAUCUGAAUAUUGGCACCUUUGUUGGCCACUAAGAGGUGGACACGCCUCUGAGGACACGAGGGGUUAAAAGCCGGAUUUCCCAGCAGGACUCUCUCUUUCCUGCUCUGCUUUCGGAGAGGGAGCGUCUCCUCCUCUCCCCUGCCGGCCUGGCUAGGCCGGAUGGGGGAGGGGAGCAAGGUGGGCCUGGCUUAGCAAGGUGGGCCUUGGGGUGGGGAACAGAGGGAGCUGGAGUGGAGCUGGUCCAGCUUCCAUCUAGAAUGGAGGGGUGGAGGGAGAACUUUGGAGGUGCCUUCCGUCCCCCCUCCCUGUCCCAUCCCGUUCCCCCCCCCCUUCCCCCCCCCCGGUCCCGUCUCUCUCCUCCCCCCACAGAGAGAAGGUGCCGAGCUGGAGCUGCUUGUGAGACCUGCAGUGUCUGCGAUCGCCUGUGCCUGACCUUGGUGGUGGGAGAUAAAGCUUUUAACUCUUUCUAAGGCAGAAGAGAGUUAUCCCUGGACGCUGUAUUCUCAUAGUUGGUGGUUUUAGAAGAGAGAGGACAGCCUGGGACCGAGAGGGUAAUGUGAGAUGAAAAGAAGCCCCUUCGAUGGCCGGAAUGAAGAGGAGUGGCUUAUGAGGCCGGACUUUUCUUGCAUAAUGAUAGCCAUAGACGGACCCUGGACCCUCCUGACUAUAAAUAAGACUGUGUUUGGGUGGAUGUUUUUGGCUCAAACCCAGAGACGUUUUGGCCUGCUUCGUGGAGCCCCCGGCCCCAGGGGUAAAUGGGGGGGGACCUGAGUCCCAAAAUGAGAAGAUGGCUGGUUUUUGGUACUUGGCCAAAACAUCCUUAAAAAGAGCCCUGUUGCAGUGCAGGUCCAUGGACGGCAGUGAGAGUGCCGGACAUGGAAAGGAGGGUGUCACCCUGGCAGACCCUUCCAGGCAGUGCCAUGGGUGACGUGGGAACACGGGAUGGUGGACCUGUGUUUCCUGUGGGGGGGGGGGUCUGUGGUGCGAGAGAGACUCCUCUCGUCCUGGAUGGAAUGUGGAUUGUCUGAAUUUUAAAGGAUGAUGGUUUGGAUUAGGAACCCAGGGUUGUUGGGGGAUUAAGCAAGUAGAUGAAGGUAAUGUGCUGGAGACAACUGAGUGAGCAUGUAUGGAAUGGAAAUUGGGGGGAGGAGAAGCAGUGUUUUGGGAGGUUUUCUCUUCUGCUUUUGGGUGGCUGGGUUUUUCUUUCCUUUUCUAUUGUCCAUUGUUAUGUAAUAUAAUAAAUUGUCUGUCUGUUUCAAGAA
This is a long non-coding RNA of Prinia subflava (tawny-flanked prinia), 2743 nucleotides long. RefSeq lists it as uncharacterized. Lineage: Eukaryota; Metazoa; Chordata; Aves; Passeriformes; Cisticolidae. The transcript has 2 exons. The record is from RefSeq and is a predicted model, not a curated record.